UGAGGAAUAUUGGUCAAUGGGCGAGAGCCUGAACCAGCCAAGUCGCGUGAAGGAAGACUGCCUUAUGGGUUGUAAACUUCUUUUAUACAGGAAUAAAAAGGCUUACGUGUAGGCCAUUGCAAGUACUGUAUGAAUAAGCAUCGGCUAACUCCGUGCCAGCAGCCGCGGUAAUACGGAGGAUGCGAGCGUUAUCCGGAUUUAUUGGGUUUAAAGGGUGCGCAGGCGGGCUUUUAAGUCAGCGGUGAAAUCUGGACGCUUAACGUCCAAACUGCCGUUGAAACUGGGAGUCUUGAGUAUGGAUGAAGUAGGCGGAAUUCGUUGUGUAGCGGUGACAUGCAUAGAUAUAACGAGGAACUCCGAUUGCGUAGGCAGCUUACUAAGCCAUAACUGACGCUCAUGCACGAAAGCGUGGGGAUCAAACAGGAUUAGAUACCCUGGUAGUCCACGCCGUAAAACGAUGAUUACUAGUUGUAUGCGAUAUGAUAGUAUGUGACUAAGCGAAAGCGAUAAGUAAUCCACCUGGGGAGUACGCCGGCAACGGUGAAACUUAAAUGAAUUGACGGGGUCAUAGCUGUUUCCUG
RNAcentral lists this ribosomal RNA (581 nucleotides) under uncultured bacterium. Its description in RNAcentral is "partial 16S ribosomal RNA". It matches the Rfam family "Bacterial small subunit ribosomal RNA", at positions 355 to 1376 of the family's 1533-position model. The record is from RNAcentral.